RNAcentral lists this long non-coding RNA (1359 nucleotides) under Sinocyclocheilus grahami. RNAcentral's name for it is "lncRNA (ENSSGRG00000029116.1)". Lineage: Eukaryota; Metazoa; Chordata; Actinopteri; Cypriniformes; Cyprinidae. The record is from RNAcentral.
CAUCCCACCUGUUUCCUGCUAUUCUUCCACAGGAAGCUCGGGGCCGCGGGCCCCUUCUCCCUCAAACCAGAGCUUGGCGCCCACUGACACACACCCAAACACACGCUUCUCAGCAGGGCGUUGUAAUACUAUGUGCACUCCCUCGUGUGUUACUAUUAUAUCCAACAGGAAACAGAUUUGGACAUACUGGUUAAUGCUUCAACCAAACUCACUCGCUCAAGAAUAUUUCCAUAGUUGUUCGGCUUUGUUUUUCAUAUUUUACACAUACAUAAGUACUGUAAAUAUUUCCUGAUAUCUGGGAUAUAUACGACCGGUCCUGUGUAGGUGGAUGAGAGUAAAACCCAUUUGGAUUGAGACAUGGAGCAGCUCUUUUUUCUUCUCAUUCCCUUGUUUGCAUCUUCAUCCAUAAUCUCAGCAGAAGUCCAAACUGAAAAAACUGUGACUUACACUUUGUCAUCUCAUUAUGAGAAUGGCAUGACCAGUCACACCUCAAAAACUGUGAGCACAACCACAGCUCCUGUAUCUUCUAGCCACACAGGCAGUACUGAUGGAUCCAGCCUCUCUUCGCAUACCACAUCAGGACAGUCCAUCAUCACCAGCUCCACGUUAACCACACUAAAAUCCUACACUGACACAACUUUAAAUUCCACCUCAUCCCCAGCGGCCAAAAUAACAGGCAGUACUGAUGGAUCCGGCCUCUCUUCACAUAACACAUCAGUGGGUGUUUCUCUGCUUCCAAAGACUUCAGCAACCGCUAAUUCAAACAUCAGCAUGUCAGAGGUGACUGCAACACCUUCACAGGCACCAGACAGCGGUCUCACUUUGCUCGCCUUUGGUGUGAUGAGUCUUAUACUCAUUUUAAUUGUUGUCAUGGUGGUCUUGGUGACCGCUAUCAACCUCAGGGGACGGUGUAGAAAUACUAAACAGCAUGAGGGUAUUAAAAGCUGUGAUUUUGUGGUGUCUGACAGCAUGACCAGCUACUGUGAGAAAGAGAGCAUCACUCUUGUCUCUGUGAGGACAAUAAACACAGAAAACAAUACAGAUUCUCCCCAGAUGUCUUCAGUUCGUAGCACUAUAGUGGAUAAUGAUGACCAAGAAUUUACCAGAGACCUGCUGGGCAUCAAAGAUGGACUGUGAUUUUACUCAGUUCGUAGUGCACGAGAUUGGAGGCUGCAUACUCUAUUUAUACUAUUAAAUGAAUGUGAAUUAAUGUGCCUUUAGCUAAUGGUCAGUGUACAGACCACACAUCAUGUUUAUGACAUGCAUUGAUGCACUCACUGCAUUUAAAAUAUCUCAUGCUCUCAUAUAUUAAACAUGACACAUGCUUCAUUGAUAAAUAAAAUGUCACUUUUGUGUUCA